AUGGGCGACCACUACGGUACGCUCGGGGUGCGGCCCGACGCUACCAAGGCCGAGGUCAAGGCCGCCUUCCGGCGCCGCGCCCUGCGGGACCACCCCGACCGCCACGCUCAAUCCGGUGACGCCGGUGCCCGAGCCGAAGCCGCGCGGCGCUUCCGCCAGGCCUCCGACGCUUACCACGUCCUCUCCGACGACCGAAGGAGGGCCGAGUACGACCUCCGUCUCCGCUCUUCCUCCUAUGUCCGCACAUCCUCCUCCACCUGGGCCUCCUCCUCGGGUUCGCACGGUUACGGCUACGGGCACAGGGAAAGUUCUUGGCGGCGGCCGCCUCCGGGAGGCGGAGGCGCAUCGGUGGGAUAUGAUUGGGGCUUGUUGCUGAAGGCGAUGACGCGGCGAAGGUUCCUUCUCAAUCUCGGCUUCUCCAGUGUAUUGCUUUCUGGUGCAGCUUUUCUUGAUGGAAGUAUUCUGGAACUCUGGAACAUGAAUAACUCCGGGAAAUCAUUUGAAGAAGCAAUGGAGUCGAUUGAGAACGUAAAAGGGGGAAAGGGGAAUAGGUAG
This 555-nucleotide ribosomal RNA is filed under the name Triticum aestivum (bread wheat). RNAcentral describes it as "partial small subunit ribosomal RNA". The record is from RNAcentral. Lineage: Eukaryota; Viridiplantae; Streptophyta; Magnoliopsida; Poales; Poaceae.